Molecule: long non-coding RNA, 3788 nt
Filed under: Salmo salar (Atlantic salmon)
Lineage: Eukaryota; Metazoa; Chordata; Actinopteri; Salmoniformes; Salmonidae
Description: lncRNA (ENSSSAG00000091911.1)
Source: RNAcentral
AACAGGAGGAAUGAGGUUUAACACUUAAAUACUCCGGAUACUAGUACAUUGUGGCAAAACUCAAAUGGCAACGUAUUUACACUGAUACAUUCUUAUACUUACAGCUAUGCAUACACACACUUUCAUACUCACAUCCAUACACGAACCCCACCUUCAAUAGGUCUGAUCACAUACAAGGCCCCUGGUUUGGCCUCAUCUCCCUCACACUGGAGAGGCAAUCGAGGAGGCUACUUCCUUACAUCAAACUAGGCGUCGGUGCGGAGCUGAUGUGCUCUGGCAUUUCCAUCACAGAGCGUACUCUCCAAUUCUUACCCUCUCACUGUUAAUUCUCGUCCUCUGUCUACCUUGCGCCUUAUUUCUCUAUUUUUAUCUGUUUAUGUAGCCUAUCUUCCUUGGUCAUGCAUGUCUGUGAUAGAGACAGAGAUAAUAAGACUUUAUGGCAGACAACCGAGUUCUUAGAAUCAAAACAGCACUGUAGAACAGCGUGUAUAGUGUUAAUUGCAGUGUAGCCUAGAUUGCCUCUGGCUAUGUCAGAGGGAAUGUUUCUGUACUUGUAUCAGUACAUUUUAAGCUAAUAACAUAGACCUAACAAUUAUUGUAAAUGUGUGUUUACCUUGUGUUAUAAUAACCUAUGUAUAAUAUAAACGGUAGGACUGACUUCAUUCAUUAUAGGCUCCUGGUUGUAGUUAAUUACAUGUGAAAGCCCACAACAGCAUUGCUGUUAGAUGGCUUCAUUAAUUUAGUUAGCUAUACUAAAUUAAUAAUAGGCUAAAACUUGUCAUGUAUGGCUAGCUUUAUUCAAAAUAGCAGAACAUACCUGCCAGGCUACAAGUCAGCUCUCCCGCGCUGCCUCUCUUUACGCGAAAAUCGUCAUGCGGACUUGUGCCCUCGUGGAGAUUCAGUGCGGUGAAUAAAUAAUACUGAGGUAUUAAUUUUGUAUACUUCACUAGGCUAAAAGCAGCGUUUACUCGUUCAUUCGUGUCGGUCAACCACUGAAAACAUAAACGUGUCAAACUUUUGUCUGCCUCUUAUCCAUUUGGUGGAAUUUCAACCACGCUCCGGUCUCCGCGUCCCACGUCUCCUCCCAGUUCCCACCCCUCCUCGUGCACUUCUCCAAUCCCGCCUCUCAGUCACACAACAAGAGGAUAAUGGUGGUGUCUCGUUCCCUUAGCAACCAGUUGCUAUAGUAAUAUUCCUCGGUAAUUCAAAGUGUUGAUGAUGAUGAUGAAGAGUCCAGAUGUAUGACCACGACAGUUAGAUUAGGCUAGUUAUUCAAUCAAACACAUGUAUUUUACAAUUCGACCCUUAACCUAGGAAGAAACGUGUAUCUCAUAAACGUAUGUGUGCUGUUGCAGGUAGCCUACUCCAAAAAACAGAGGAUUCGCGAAAUCCACUUUUUGCAUAGUUGUAGGAGCUCCUCAGCAUUUUAGCUGCUGCACAUCUCGCAUUUCCCAACAACUUUACAGUAACUAGACGUUUGUUUCUAUGCGAAACGGCUGCGGCGCUUUUAGGAGUAGCCUUAGUUACAGCCCUUCCCGUACCGCGACCAAAAGAAAGCUCUACACACAUGCAAGAGGCAUUUCUCACUCAAUACCGAAAGUGGAUUGAAUCUUUUUCUGAAUAUUCUCUGUUUUUUGGAGUUCCACCUGCAACUGCACACAGGUGUUCAUACGAGACAUCGAAUCGAGAACAAAGAAAGUAUCGCCAAGGACAAGUAUGUGGAUGAGGAGGUUGGGCACCGGCCCUGUCUGGCUUUAAUCCCUUGGUCUGGACCUCUGUGGGUUCCCAGAUUUGCACAAUUGAGCAGCACAUUUUCAUCUCUCGUCCUGGCACGAUGGUAUGGGAUGAACUGUCCUUUCAGCUUGAAGAGGUAGACAUUCACCUGCAGGUUCAGCAGCAGCCCUGUCUGGCUUUAAUCUCUUGGUGUGGACCUCCGUGGGAUUCAAAUGCUCCUGUCAAACUGCAGCCAAUUUAUAACCUUCCCAUGCUGGGAGGAUGCUGGUGAGAGAGCUGGCAGUGCUAAACACACAGAUUUUCACAGUGGAGCAACCCGUUUAUUAUCUGUUUCACUCCUGCUAGGAGGAUGGUAUGGGAGGAACUGUCCGCUCAAAAUGAACAGUAUGUGGAUGAGGAGUUUGGACAGUGGACCUGUCUGGCUUUAAUCCCUUGGUCUGGACCCUUGUGUGUUCCUAUCUCCCCUGCCUUCUCCAAGGCCAAACCAGUCUACUACCUCACCCUUGCUGGGAGAAUGCUAGUAACAGAACUUGCAGUGUUAAACACACAGCAAAAUUAAGAGGACAUGCAUCACCUGUGCAUUGUGAGGGGAGUGGAGAAACAGCUGUGGUGGAGCAGAGUCAUCCAGGAAAACGUCCUGGACCCAUGGGUGGUCUUCAACAACAAGGAGGUGACUGGUAUUAAGGUGCAGUCAAGCACUUUCUCACUUUCAUUUCACAAAAGUGGCAAAUGUCCAUUUACCUAUUUGAAUAAAUACAUGUUGACAGAAAAUGAAAUGAUACAUUCUAAUCUCUUGCCUCAUUUUUAUUUCCUUGGUAGAAGGAUCCAUGGCCUUGUCAAGAGGAGGUCAGAGUUCACCUAUUAUGAGGACGCCCAGGUUUAUUUCAGAGUUUGGUUGAGGGGCUCUCAAUAUGGUGGUUUUCAGUGUUGGGCUUGCAGUGUCACAUGUUGUGUUAAACAGCACGUGGAUAUCUCCACCACGGUGGAGCGGUUCCAGGAGAGGGGGGAUGAGAUGAUGGCAUAUCAACUCUCUACCUCUGACAUCAUCACCACCCCUCAUGAGCCUUCCUUCCCCAAUGAUUCUCUGCCACCCCCUCCGCCUCCCCUUUUCCCUUGUUAUUCCCCUCCCAGUCCGCCUCCACCUUACCACUCCACCCAGGACCGGGACCAGGCCCCUGACAGCACUCCUCAGGGGUUACUUUGCAAACCAAGGGAAAACCAACUUCUCUCUGAGGCUAGCCGGUAUCUGACGUGGAGACUAUGACAUCCGCAGACAGUACCUCCCUCAAUUACCUCACACACGCUGGGAGGAUGGUGUUGAGCGGACUGUCCGAGCUCAACCAGCAGCUAACCAAUUUCAUAAUUAUAGUUCAUCAGACCAGAUAUAUAGUUCCCACUGGGCACAGGUGUCAUUUCAAUGUCUGGUUUUGAUUUACAUUUGGUUGAGUUGUCAACUAAUGUGAAUUCAAUGUGAAAUCCCACCCAAACAUUUACGUAAUUAGAUUUAGGUUAAAAGUUGGGUGAAAAUGUCACGUCCUGACCAGUAUAAGGGGUUAUUGGUUAUUGUAGUUUGGUCAGGACGUGGCAGGGGGUAUUUGUUUUAUGUGGUUCAGGGUUUAUUGGGAUAUGUAUUUAUGUAAGAGGGGUGUUUGUUUUAUGUGUUCCGGGGUGUUUGGGUAAUGUUCUUGUUUUGUAUUUCUAUGGUUUUCUAUGUUGUGUAUUUCUUUGUUGGCCUGGUAUGGCUCUCAAUCAGGAACAGCUGUACAUCGUUGUUUCUGAUUGGGAGUCAUACUUAGGUAGCCCUUUUUUCACCUGUGGUUUGUGGGAAGUUGUUGUUGCAUAGCUGUGUGUAGCCUGCAAUACUGUUCGUUAAGUGUUCUAAAUAAAGUUAAGAGGAGCACUCAACCCGCUGCGCCUUGGUCCAUUACGUACGACAGCCGUUACAGAAAAGACGAAAUUUCCUUACGUUGAUGACUUCUUUCAAAUCCAAUCAGUUUUCCACAUUGAUUGAACAUCAUCACAUUUACAUUUUCUAUUGAUGUGACAUGGAAACA